This 244-nucleotide ribosomal RNA is filed under the name uncultured bacterium. Its description in RNAcentral is "partial 16S ribosomal RNA". It matches the Rfam family "Bacterial small subunit ribosomal RNA", at positions 531 to 774 of the family's 1533-position model. The record is from RNAcentral.
GUGGCAAGCGUUGUCCGGAUUUAUUGGGCGUAAAGCGAGUGCAGGCGGUUCAAUAAGGCUGAUGUGAAAACCUUCGGCUCCACCGGAGAAUUGCAUCGGAAACUGUGUUUCUUGAGUGCAGAAGAGGAGAGUGGAACUCCAUGUGUAGCGGUGGAAUGCGUAGAUAUAUGGAAGAACACCAGUGGCGAAGGCGGCUCUCUGGUCUGUAACUGACGCUGAGGCUCGAAAGCAUGGGUAGCGAACA